Microtus oregoni (creeping vole) is the source of this 4369-nucleotide RNA transcript. It is a transcript of the gene named family with sequence similarity 184 member A, with no coding region annotated. Lineage: Eukaryota; Metazoa; Chordata; Mammalia; Rodentia; Cricetidae. The transcript is spliced from 20 exons. The record is from RefSeq and is a predicted model, not a curated record.
CGGCGGCUCCCGCGUCCGCAGCCCCGCCUCCCGCCGCUGCAGCCCGCCCCGUCCCCGCCUCCCUCCGCAGCCCCGGCGGCGACCGAGUCUCGGGGCCCGGUGGCCGCUGCUUGCGGGACGCUAGCCGCGCCGUCGCCCAGCCCGGGUAGGGGGACGCCGCCGUCGCGGGCGGGAGGGAGGACUCCGGCCGCCCGGACUGGAGGGCGCGGGCGGGCGGGUCGGCAAGCGGCCGCCCCGGCUGUCGCCUGCCCCGUGUCGUCGCUGCGCCGGCCUCGCCCCGCGCGCGGGGACAGGUGCCCCGGCCGGGGUCUGCCGGGAAGAUGGCGACCCCGGGCAUGAGCUGGCAGCAGCACUAUUACGGCGGCUCUGCGGCCGGGGCGGCCAAAUUCGCGCCCUCGCCGGCCGCCGCGCAGCUGGCCGGGAACAGCAUGGACUACUACAGCCAGGACAUGCACCUGAAGAUGAGCAAGAAGAUCGCCCAGCUCACCAAGGUAAUAUAUGCUUUGAAUACCAAAAACGAUGAACACGAGUCUGCAAUUCAGGCCCUCAAAGAUGCUCACGAAGAAGAAAUCCAACAAAUUCUUGCAGAAACAAGAGAAAAAAUACUGCUCUAUAAAAGCAAGGUAACAGAAGAGGUAGACCUUAGGAGAAAGAUUCAAGUUCUGGAAGCGUCUUUGGAAGACCAUGUGAAGAUGAAACAGCAAGCUCUGACGGAGUUUGAAGCCUUUAAGCACAGAGUUGCGGACAUGCAGCUUUGUGCAGAGGCCCAGCAUGUCCAGCGCAUAGUAACCAUGUCGCGGGAGGUCGAAGAGAUUAGAAGGAAGUUUGAAGAGAGGUUGCGGAGCUUCGGACAGCUCCAAGUACAGUUUGAGAAGGACAAACGGUUGGCCCUGGAAGAUUUGAGAACCACCCACAGACGGGAAGUCCAAGAGCUGUUGAAGUCGCAGCAGGACCACAGUGCUUCGGUGAACAAGGGGCAGGAGAAGGCAGAGGAGCUGCACAGGAUGGAGGUGGAGGCCUUGAACAGCACCCUGGAAGAGCUGCGACUUGAAAAGAAGAAGCUCAUCGAGGAAUAUGAAGGCAGGCUGAACAAAGCCCAGGUAUUUUACGAGCGCGAGCUGGAUAACUUGAAAAGGUCACAGCUCUUCACAGCGGAAAGCCUGCAGGCUAGCAGGGACAAGGAGGCCGAGCUUCGCAAAGAGUUCCAGGGACAAGAAGCCGUUCUGCGGAAAACCAUAGGAAAAUUGAAGACCGAGUUGCAGAUGGUGCAGGAUGAAGCCAGCAGUCUGCUUGACAAAUGCCAAAAGCUGCAGGUGGCCCUGACUGCGGCAGAGAGCAAUGUACAGGUUCUUCAAAAACAGCUUGAUGAUGCCAAGGAGGGAGAAAUGGCCUUGUUGAACAAGCACAAGGAAGUGGAAAGUGAGCUAGCAGCUGCCCGGGAGCGUUUACAACAGCAAGCGUCAGACCUUGUCCUCAAAGCUAGCCAUAUUGGAAUGCUUCGAGCAACUCAGAUGACCCAGGAAGUUACAAUUAAAGAUUUAGAGUCAGAAAAAUCCAGAGCCAACGAGAGAUUAUGUCAGCUUGAAGAGGAAAGAGCUUUUCUGCAAAGCAGAACGCAGAGUCUGGAUGAGGAACAGAAGCAGCAGGUGCUGGAGCUGGAGAAGAAAGUAAAUGAAGCAAAGAGAAGUCAGCAAGAAUAUUAUGAAAUGGAGCUUAAAAACCUGCAAAAUAGAUUGGAAGGCGAGGUGGCCCAGCUGAACGAGGCUCACUCGAAGACUUUAGAGGAGCUGGCCUGGAAGCACCACAUGGCCAUGGAGGCUGUGCACAGCAACGCCAGCCGAGAUAAGAAAAAGCUGCAAAUGGAAUUGGAGGAACAAUACAAAAAGGAGAAACUGAGUCUGGAAGAGGAUAAAAAUCAACUUCAACUAGAGCUAGAAAAUGUAAAGCAAGUGCUGGAAGACAAGCUGACUUCAGCCAAUCAGGAGAUUGGUCGCCUCCAAGAUCUGGUAAGGAAAAGUGAACAAGGUCUUGGCUCAGCUGAAGGACUCAUUGCUAGUCUUCAGGACUCCCAAGAGAGGCUUCAGAGUGAACUGGACCUGACGAAAGGCAGGCUAAAAGAGACCAAGGAGGCCCUAUUAAAUGUUGAGGCUGAGCUAGAACAAGAGAGGCACCAGCAUGAACAAACACUUGCUGCCAUGAAGGAAGAAGAGAAGCUGAGGGUGGACAGGAUGGCCCAUGACCUAGAGAUAAAGUGGACUGAAAAUCUCAGACAAGAGUGCUCUAAACUUCGCCAGGAGCUAAGGCUUCAGCACGAAGAGGACAAGAAGUCUGCGAUGUCUCAACUGCUGCAGCUGAAAGAGCGAGAGAAAACUGCUGCCAGGGAUUCUUGGCAGAAGAAGGUGGAAGACCUUCUAAACCAGCGGCACUCUCUGGGUGAAGCUUUGCAUAAAUCUAUCAACAAUAUCUCCCUGCUCAAGCAGAACCUGGAGCUGCAGCUUUGCCAGUCACAGACAUCUCUGCAGCAGCUGCAGGCGCAGUUCACACAAGAGCGCCAGCGACUCACACAGGAGCUGGAGGAGCUGGAGGAGCAGCAUCAGCAGAGACACAAGUCCCUCAAAGAAGCACAUGUGCUCGCCUUCCAAACCAUGGAAGAAGAGAAGGAAAAGGAACAAAGGGCUCUGGAGAAUCACUUACAGCAGAAGCAUUCUGCAGAGCUGCAGUCACUGAAAGACGCACACCGAGAGUCCAUGGAGGGCUUCCGCAUGGAGAUGGAGCAGGAGCUUCAGACGCUCCGCUUCGAAUUAGAAGACGAAGGAAAAGCGAUGCUUGCUUCCUUACGAUCUGAACUAAACCAUCAACAUGCAGCUUCAAUUGAUUUGCUACGGCAUAAUCACCAUCAAGAACUGGCAGCAGCGAAAAUGGAGCUAGAGCGGAGCAUCGACAUCAGCCGAAGGCAGAGUAAGGAGCACAUGUGUAGAAUAAGUGACCUACAAGAGGAGCUACGGCACCGAGAGCACCACAUCUCAGACUUAGACAAGGAGGUCCAGCACCUCCAUGAAAACAUUAGUACCCUAACGAAAGAACUGGAGCAUAAGGGGAAAGAAAUUCUCAGAAUCCGAAGUGAAUCCAACCAACAGAUGAGGUUGCAUGAACAAGAUUUAAACAAGAGACUUGAGAAAGAGCUGGAUGUCAUGACAGCAGACCACCUCAGAGAGAAAAAUAUCAUGCGGGCAGAUUUUAAUAAGACUAAUGAGCUACUCAAGGAAAUAAAUGCAGCUUUACAAAUGUCACUAGAAGAAAUGGAAGAAAAGUACCUGAUGAGAGAAUCAAAGCCAGAAGAUAUACAGAUAAUCGCAGAAUUAAAAUCCUUGCUUACAGAGAGAGACCAGGUCAUAAAGAAACUAAUUGAGGAUAAUAAAUUUUAUCAGCUGGAAUUAGUCAAUCGAGAAACUAACUUCAACAAAAUAUUUAACACAAGUCCUACUGUUGGUGUUAUUAACCCCUUGGCUAAGCAAAAGAAGAAGAAUGAUAAGUCCCCAACAAACAGGUUUGUGAGUGUUCCCAAUCUAAGUGCUCUGGAAUCCAGUGGAGUGGGCAAUGGACAUCCUACCCGCUUGGAACCCAUUCCCAAUUCUCCGGUCCAUGAAGUUGAGUUCAACAGCAACAAGCCACUUCCGCAGCCAUUGCCACCCAAAGAGCCCAAGACAUUUUUGAGGUAUCAGUAGGAUGCAUGUGCAUGUGCUCGAGGGACGUGGCCGCUGGAGCUUCCAUUACACAUUGUUGCGUGCCUUGUAAUUCCCCCAAAGACGUCCUCCUCAGAGUGAAGCUUCCCCGGUGACUUCUCCAGAUCCCCAGCGCCAGGAGUGGUUUGCCCGGUACUUCACAUUCUGAACGAAUUGUGCUGGCACAGCUCUGGUGGACUGUGACAAGAGCCUGCCUGCAUCCGCAUCAGUAUGUGCACAGGCUCCCCUGUGUAGAGCACUGUGAAUGAGGUGUUUGUCCAGUUUGAAGAUGCACUGUAUUUCCUGUGAUAGUUAUUGGAAUCACUCUCUGAGGGUACUAUAUUAUGUGUGUAAUUAUAGCAAUUAUUUUUAUUUGAGAUGGAAGUCUUUAAUCUUUGUAAUUACUGCAUAAUAAAUUUUGUUAGAACAAAUGGUUUUUGUUGUUGUUUUCUAUUAAGUGUGCUUUAAACACUUUUUAAUACCAGGUGUAAGACUUGUCAAUAAGUAUCAUUGCAUUAAUGAUAAUUGUUAUUUCAAUAGUCUUCAAAUCAAUAUAGGGAAAUAUAUUCUAUUAAUAACUUUCAAUGUUGUGUAUUUUAACUAAAUUGUCAACAUUUAUAAAUCUAGAAUAAAAGAAUUUAUGUAAA